AUGCUGGGUGCGUGCAGCUUCAGGACAAAGGGCAAUAAAACACAUUCCACAGGCACCCCCCCUGCACUAAGUCGACACGGGACAGUGUCCAGUUUCACCCGAGGCCGACAUCGAUUGGACGCCACACAGCUCAGGCAGGGAGGCAGCAAGCGUCCAGUUGAGCAUGUGACAACACAGGAUCGCAAGAGGAACUGCAGCGGGGUGACGCAUGAGCAGGCUCCUGCAGUGGCAGAUGAGACUGAGAUCUCCCCUCCUACAUUUUCUGUACAUUGUAAGAAAGAAAGAAAGCCUUUAAUCAUCAUUAUUACAUCUGUUUACAAUGUAACGAUAAAAUUGGUAUUCUGCAUUUAAACUGCCCUAGUUAAAGUGACAUAUACUGUACAGCUUAUUAAUAUUUUAUGAUUUUAUGUCUCUCUGCUGCUAAUGUGUGUUUUUGGAUUCCACUGAAUUCUAGGUGACACACAAGCAGACUUCUGCAAUAGCCGACAAAAUCCUCAAGGUAAAAAGGUUGGACCUGACCAGAACUGAUUUCCUUGUCAUUGCCUGCAGUUAACGUGUGUUCACAGUGAUAUGUUUGAUUCAGACAGCCACUGUGCCAUGUGUUGUUUCAAAGCCUCAGCCAUCAGCCUUCCACUACAGGCAGUGUGAUGGUGCAGCAGGACAACGGCAUUCAAAGAAACAGCUCUGUGAAGCAGUCCCAUGUCUGUGAAGGAUGCCAGUCAGCAGGAUGAAAACAUUUCUCUGCAUGCAGCAGCAGUCUGACAAGUCCCAGAUGGGUAAGGUUAGGUGUUCAACUCUUUAGGAUGAACAGAGUGCUGCAGCGCCAGCUAAAGUUGCAGUUUCACGGAGCUGUUUGUCUUCAUGCUACAACUUCAGCCCAUUUUCACACUCAUACAGCUUCACAGUCUGUUCUUGUACUGAAUGGAUUGUGUACAAACAGACUGGCGCUGCAGCAGUCUGUUUAUCCUGAAGCAUUGAACACCUUACCUUACCUUACCUUACCUUCCUGGGACUUGUCAGACUGCUGCUGCAUGUAGAGAAAUGUUUUCAUCCUGCUGACUGUCAUCCUUCACAGAUAUAGGACUGCUUCACAGAGCUGUUUCUUUGAAUGCUGUCAUCCUGCUGCAAGUCACACUGAGUCUCUGUCACAAUCUGUGCAACAAAAUGACAAAGGUCAGUAUGCAUGUCGUAGUUCACAGAGCUGCUUGUCUUCAUGCUGCAACUUCAGCCCACUUUGACACUC
Molecule: long non-coding RNA, 1243 nt
Filed under: Betta splendens (Siamese fighting fish)
Lineage: Eukaryota; Metazoa; Chordata; Actinopteri; Anabantiformes; Osphronemidae
Description: lncRNA (ENSBSLG00000021898.1)
Source: RNAcentral